This 879-nucleotide ribosomal RNA is filed under the name Candidatus Phytoplasma ulmi. RNAcentral describes it as "bacterial SSU rRNA". It matches the Rfam family "Bacterial small subunit ribosomal RNA", at positions 485 to 1371 of the family's 1533-position model. Lineage: Bacteria; Bacillati; Mycoplasmatota; Mollicutes; Acholeplasmatales; Acholeplasmataceae. The record is from RNAcentral.
CACCCAGCCCACAAUAAUCUAUCUGCCAGCAGCUGCGGUAAGACUUAGGGGCUUUGCGUUAUCUAUUCAUUAUGGGCGAAGAGGGUGCGUAGGCGGUUAGAUAAGUCUAUAAUUUCAUUUCCAGUGCUUAGCGCUGUCUGUUACAGAAACUGUCUUGACUAGAGUGAGAUAGAGGCAAGCGGAAUUCCAUGUGUAGCGGUAAAAUGUGUAAAUAUAUGGAGGAACACCAGAAGCGUAGGCGGCUUGCUGGGUCUUUACUGACGCUGAGGCACGAAAGCGUGGGGAGCAAACAGGAUUAGAUACCCUGGUAGUCCACGCUGUAAACGAUGAGUACUAAGUGUCGGGGAAACUCGGUACUGAAGUUAACACAUUAAGUACUCCGCCUGAGUAGUACGUACGCAAGUAUGAAACUUAAAGGAAUUGACGGGACUCCGCACAAGCGGUGGAUCAUGUUGUUUAAUUCGAAGAUACACGAAAAACCUUACCAGGUCUUGACAUACUCUGCAAAGCUAUAGAAAUAUAGUGGAGGUUAUCAGGGAUACAGGUGGUGCAUGGUUGUCGUCAGUUCGUGUCGUGAGAUGUUAGGUUAAGUCCUAAAACGAACGCAACCCCUGUCGUUAGUUGCCAGCACGUAAUGGUGGGGACUUUAGCGAGACUGCCAAUUAAACAUUGGAGGAAGGUGGGGAUAACGUCAAAUCAUCAUGCCCCUUAUGAUCUGGGCUACAAACGUGAUACAAUGGCUAUUACAAAGAGUAGCUGAAACGCGAGUUUUUAUGCAAUGUCAAAAAGGUAGUCUCAGUACGGAUUGAAGUCUGCAACUAGACUUCAUGACGUUAAAAACUCUAAGAUCUGGAAUAAGACACGACGCUAACAAGCCAU